GCGGUUGUGGCGGAAUGGCAGACGCGUCAGAUUAAGGAUCUGGUGGGAUAUAUUUCCCGUGCUGGUUCAAGUCCAGUCAGCCGCA
RNAcentral lists this transfer RNA (85 nucleotides) under Loigolactobacillus backii. RNAcentral describes it as "Lactobacillus backi tRNA". It matches the Rfam family "tRNA". Rfam says of the family: Transfer RNA (tRNA) molecules are approximately 80 nucleotides in length. Their secondary structure includes four short double-helical elements and three loops (D, anti-codon, and T loops). The record is from Rfam by way of RNAcentral. Lineage: Bacteria; Bacillati; Bacillota; Bacilli; Lactobacillales; Lactobacillaceae.